AAAGAAUUAGUUAAAUUAUAACAUUAGAAUGUCAAACUAAAAUUAUUAAACAUUAAUAUUCUUUA
Molecule: transfer RNA, 65 nt
Filed under: Copelatus sp. MJTNT-2012
Lineage: Eukaryota; Metazoa; Arthropoda; Insecta; Coleoptera; Dytiscidae
Description: tRNA-Asp
Source: RNAcentral